GUCUGUAUAAUUUAAAAAAUAUUAGAUUGUGAUUCUAAACAUAAAAGUUAAAAUCUUUUUACAAACU
Molecule: transfer RNA, 67 nt
Filed under: Rhyacotriton variegatus (southern torrent salamander)
Lineage: Eukaryota; Metazoa; Chordata; Amphibia; Caudata; Rhyacotritonidae
Description: tRNA-His
Rfam family: tRNA
About the family: Transfer RNA (tRNA) molecules are approximately 80 nucleotides in length.
Source: RNAcentral